UCCCUCUUAGGAUUGCUCCUGGAGUGUUUUCAGUAGUCUACCAGUCUCUGCUAUGGGAGGGAAGGUCAAGCAGACGCCUACCCAUUCCAUUCCAAGCUUGGGAGGUAGCUAGCGAGUGGAAGGCAAUCUGCUACAAUU
Molecule: small nucleolar RNA, 138 nt
Organism: Tachyglossus aculeatus (Australian echidna)
Lineage: Eukaryota; Metazoa; Chordata; Mammalia; Monotremata; Tachyglossidae
Source: RefSeq, a predicted model, not a curated record